GAUGAACGCUGGCGGCGUGCCUAAUACAUGCAAGUCGAGCGAACAGACGAGGAGCUUGCUCCUCUGACGUUAGCGGCGGACGGGUGAGUAACACGUGGAUAACCUACCUAUAAGACUGGGAUAACUUCGGGAAACCGGAGCUAAUACCGGAUAAUAUAUUGAACCGCAUGGUUCAAUAGUGAAAGACGGUUUUGCUGUCACUUAUAGAUGGAUCCGCGCCGCAUUAGCUAGUUGGUAAGGUAACGGCUUACCAAGGCAACGAUGCGUGGCCGACCUGAGGGGGGGGUCGGCCACACUGGAACUUGGACACGGUCCAGGCUCCUACGGGAGGCAGCAGUAGGGAAUCUUCCGCAAUGGGCGAAAGCCUGACGGAGCAGCGCCGCGUGAGUGAUGAAGGUCUUCGGAUCGUAAAACUCUGUUAUUAGGGAAGAACAAAUGUGUAAGUAACUAUGCACGUCUUGACGGUACCUAAUCAGAAAGCCACGGCUAACUACGUG
This 497-nucleotide ribosomal RNA is filed under the name uncultured bacterium. RNAcentral's name for it is "partial 16S ribosomal RNA". It matches the Rfam family "Bacterial small subunit ribosomal RNA", at positions 28 to 507 of the family's 1533-position model. The record is from RNAcentral.